GGGAGUUUGGUCUAGUGGUAUGAUUCUCGCUUUGGGUGCGAGAGGAAGCUAGUUCGAUUCUCGCAACUCCCC
This 72-nucleotide transfer RNA is filed under the name Pleodorina starrii. It matches the Rfam family "tRNA". From Rfam's summary of the family: Transfer RNA (tRNA) molecules are approximately 80 nucleotides in length. Their secondary structure includes four short double-helical elements and three loops (D, anti-codon, and T loops). The record is from Rfam by way of RNAcentral. Lineage: Eukaryota; Viridiplantae; Chlorophyta; Chlorophyceae; Chlamydomonadales; Volvocaceae.